RNAcentral lists this ribosomal RNA (484 nucleotides) under uncultured bacterium. RNAcentral describes it as "partial 16S ribosomal RNA". It matches the Rfam family "Bacterial small subunit ribosomal RNA", at positions 28 to 507 of the family's 1533-position model. The record is from RNAcentral.
GUUGAACGCUGGCGGCAGGCCUAACACAUGCAAGUCGAGCGGAUGAAGGGAGCUUGCUCCUGGAUUCAGCGGCGGACGGGUGAGUAAUGCCUAGGAAUCUGCCUGGUCGUGGGGGCUAACGUCCGGAAACGGGCGCUAAUACCGCAUCCGUCCUGAGGUAGAAAGUGGGGGAUCUUCGGACCUCACGCUAUCAGCUGAGCCUAGGUCGGAUUAGCUAGUUGGUGGGGUAAAGGCCUACCAAGGCGACGAUCCGUAACUGGUCUGAGAGGAUGAUCAGUCACACUGGAACUGAGACACGGUCCAGACUCCUACGGGAGGCAGCAGUGGGGAAUAUUGGACAAUGGGCGAAAGCCUGAUCCAGCCAUGCCGCGUGUGUGAAGAAGGUCUUCGGAUUGUAAAGCACUUUAAGUUGGGAGGAAGGGCAGUAAGUGAAUACCUUGCUGUUUUGACGUUACCAACAGAAUAAGCACCGGCUAACUUCGUG